UGUGUAUGGCCACAGGCCUGUUCCUGCCUCAUUGUUGGCAGGCCCCAAACAGACUGUGCAUCUGGUUUGCUCCUUCCCUGCGUCUGUGGCUGUUCAGUGGAACCUGUUACCAGCACCUGGCUGCGUUUGGAUGCUUUGGGACGGUGACCCAGGUUGGUGAGGAUGCUGCCUGCAGUGGGGCCACCCUCGGCUUGCCUAUCCUAAGAGAGAGGUAAGGCCCGGCUGCUCCCUGACACCUCUUCCAUAGCGGCACAAGCCAAACCACUUCAUUUCCUCUCCAUCCGUGAUAAUAGUGAAGGUUCUGAGAUCUUUGCUGCUUUAAUUGUAGUGAAAUGUGCAAUUCCUUCACCAGCCAACAGACAGCAAGUCCCACCUUGUGCAGCGGUCAAGAACUGCCUGCUCUUUCAUUGCGAGCAUUUACUGUGCUUGAGGAACCGGAGGACCACAGGUUUGGAAAGCCAAGCCUGGACCACAGGCUGCACACAAAAUUUGGAUCUUAGGGUGUGCAUACUGAGCCUGAUACCUUUCAUAGGCUGUGCCCUUGUGCCAGGAAGGUGACAGCAGCUAUCUUUUUUUCCUUUUGUGCUAAUUUUCUGCAGUUUACAGGCAAGUUGCCAGAGUAAGUCCUCCAGUUGAAGUAGGUUGCAAAUAACAGCACUCUUGUUAGAAUAUGUAGCAAAUUGGUUUAUUCUAGUCCUUAAUCUACAUAAUAAGGGUGGAAAUGAGAGUAAUAAAUAUACUUAAGUGUUUGGAAAUGACUUUCUUCCUGAAGAUUUUUCACAGAAUGGAAAUUAGGAUUAAUUCUAGAGGAGGAGAGCUGACCUUAAAAGGCCCAUUGUAAUUGACCUUAAAGCCACAAUUC
Oxyura jamaicensis (ruddy duck) is the source of this 862-nucleotide long non-coding RNA. RefSeq lists it as uncharacterized. The record is from RefSeq and is a predicted model, not a curated record. Lineage: Eukaryota; Metazoa; Chordata; Aves; Anseriformes; Anatidae. The transcript has 2 exons.